RNAcentral lists this ribosomal RNA (221 nucleotides) under uncultured bacterium. RNAcentral's name for it is "partial 16S ribosomal RNA". It matches the Rfam family "Bacterial small subunit ribosomal RNA", at positions 118 to 351 of the family's 1533-position model. The record is from RNAcentral.
UGGGAACCUUCCCUAUGGUUCGGAAUAGGCUCAGGGGAAACCUUGGGGUAAUACCGGAUAAGCCCUUCGGGGGAAAGAUUUAUCGCCGAAACGAUUGGCCCGCGUCUGAUUAGCUAGUUGGUGAGGUAAUGGCUCACCAAGGCGACGAUCAGUAGCUGGUCUGAGAGGAUGAUCAGCCACAUUGGGACUGAGACACGGCCCAAACUCCCUACGGGAGGCAG